Molecule: non-coding RNA, 100 nt
Organism: Acanthosepion pharaonis
Lineage: Eukaryota; Metazoa; Mollusca; Cephalopoda; Sepiida; Sepiidae
Source: the annotation of a GenBank genome assembly
CAUUGAAACACUGGUUCUCAUACAAUCACCAAAGUUAAGCAACAUUGACUCUGGUCAGUACCUAGAUGAGUGACUGCUUGGGAAUACCAGAUGCUGUAAG